Molecule: ribosomal RNA, 492 nt
Filed under: uncultured bacterium
Lineage: Bacteria
Description: partial 16S ribosomal RNA
Rfam family: Bacterial small subunit ribosomal RNA
Source: RNAcentral
AGUGAACGCUGGCGGUAGGCCUAACACAUGCAAGUCGAACGGCAGCACAGUAAGAGUUUGCUCUUACGGGUGGCGAGUGGCGGACGGGUGAGGAAUACAUCGGAAUCUACUUUUUCGUGGGGGAUAACGUAGGGAAACUUAUGCUAAUACCGCAUACGACCUACGGGUGAAAGCAGGGGAUCUUCGGACCUUGCGCGAUUGAAUGAGCCGAUGUCGGAUUAGCUAGUUGGCGGGGUAAAGGCCCACCAAGGCGACGAUCCGUAGCUGGUCUGAGAGGAUGAUCGGCCACACUGGAACUGAGACACGGUCCAGACUCCUACGGGAGGCAGCAGUAGGGAAUAUUGGACAAUGGGCGCAAGCCUGACCCAGCCAUACCGCGUGGGUGAAGAAGGCCUUCGGGUUGUAAAGCCCUUUUGUUGGGGAAGAAAAGCUGUAGGUUAAUACCCCGCUGUUCUGACGGUACCCAAAGAAUAAGCACCGGCUAACUUCGUG